CUGCUGCUAUGUGAAGAUGGUUUUUGCUUCCCUUUCUUCUUCUGCCAUGAUUGUAAAUUUCCUGAGGUCUCCCAAGCCAUGCAAAACAACACUAUAGCUGGUAAUACGCUGGGUUACACCUGAAGCCAGCAAGUCUCUGAGUUUCACCCAAGGCCUGAAGAGGGUACUGCCUGGCUACCACUCCUGAAUUUUCAGGACUCAAGGACUCUUUAGUCAGCAGGUUCUGCCAGGACUUGGUCUUUCCUUUCAAAUCAACAGGUUCCCAUCUGGCCCAGGCUGUGUCUAGAAAUGUCAUCUGGGAUCUAAGGCCUGAAAUGGGCGUGUCAGAACUCUUCCUGGUGCACUCCUUUAUUGUGACUAACCUGGUAUCCAGGGUGCAAGACAAAGUCCUCUUUACUCUCCUCUCCCCUCCCCUCUCCUCAAGAAGAAGAAAAGAAUCUCUCCUGGAACUGCAAGCUGAACUUCCUGGGGUUCUGGGAAGGGUGACACAAACACUUCCUUGGCCACCCUGGUUGGUGUCUCACCGGGUCACAUGUGCUCCAAGUCCAUUGGUUCUGAGCUCAGCACAGCACCAGGAAUUGCCUAGGAAUUACAGUCCUGGUGAUCUAAAGUGCCUCGCAAGUGUAUUUAGAACCCCAGAGCACUUAAACCUGCUAGAGUGGCAGGGCUUGCUGAAACUCAGUUUCUGACUGCUGGAAUGGACAAUUCACCUCUGGCUAGAGCUUAUCUAGAUGCUCCCUUGGAGGACACAAGCUGGGUUGUUCCCAGUGUUGCUUUCUGCUGUGAUAAGGUAGCACUGAUUUCCAAUGUGAAGUCCCACAAUCACUACAUUCUCUCUCCCCAAAAUGCACAGGUUCUUUCUCCGUGACCCACGACCACUGCUAGGGGAUGGGUAACCUGUGGUGUAAGCAAUUCAAGACUACCUUCUUCAGUGCAUGUUUCCUUAAUAUGAUGUUAAUAUCAAGUACUGUGAUAGCUCACCUGAGUUUCACUUCUUAUAAUGGUGCUUUUGUUGUACGGAUAGUUGUUCAAUUUUGUUUUCCUGUUGGGAAGGAUGACUUUCGGUGCUUCUCUUCUGCCAGACCUUUGGUGUAGGCAAUUCAAGACUGUUUUUUUCUACCCUCUUCAGUGACCU
Molecule: long non-coding RNA, 1135 nt
Filed under: Homo sapiens (human)
Lineage: Eukaryota; Metazoa; Chordata; Mammalia; Primates; Hominidae
Description: HSALNT0209956
Source: RNAcentral